Molecule: long non-coding RNA, 570 nt
Filed under: Mus caroli (Ryukyu mouse)
Lineage: Eukaryota; Metazoa; Chordata; Mammalia; Rodentia; Muridae
Description: lncRNA (MGP_CAROLIEiJ_G0002650.1)
Source: RNAcentral
AACUGGAACAAGAUGCAGGACCGAGUGUUUCUCUAAAGAAAGAAGGAGGAAACAGCAGUGUUGACCUGCCUCGGAGUCCACCCUCCACCCUCACCUCAGCUCUGCUCCGCAUCCCUCGUGCUCCUGGGUCACCGCCAACAGCACCGAAACCCCAGGGCUCACUCACUCUUGUGCUUCUGGGCAUGUCCAACCUGCAGCCAUCAGAGGGCCCCAUGCAUCCCAGGGUGCUAUAGACAUGGCCCAAUGUAUCUGCAGAGGACAUCAUGUCACAGUGUCAGAAGAUCAUGUACCCCACAUGUAUAGAGCGCUUUUCCACCCCCACCUCACUGAAACUCUAACAACCUCCAGUCUCAUCAGACUCUUGGGAAAGCCUGGCCUUGCAUGGUUCCUGAGCCUGCCUCUACCACACAAUUAAGCUUUGAGGCCUACUAAGGCCUAAAUGCUACUACCAAGGGCAAGGAGUCCCUGACUCCACUGUAAAAUCGUCUUCCUGUGUGGUGCCAUGUAUCUUGGGCUACCUUACCAUCAUUCUUGUCACCUACCACUGUAAUUACACAUUUACAGACUGCC